UGGCUCAGUUGGUAGAGCAUGGCGUUUCCACGCCAGGGUUGUGGGUUCAAUUCCCAC
This 57-nucleotide transfer RNA is filed under the name Salmo salar (Atlantic salmon). It matches the Rfam family "tRNA", at positions 8 to 63 of the family's 71-position model. From Rfam's summary of the family: Transfer RNA (tRNA) molecules are approximately 80 nucleotides in length. Their secondary structure includes four short double-helical elements and three loops (D, anti-codon, and T loops). Lineage: Eukaryota; Metazoa; Chordata; Actinopteri; Salmoniformes; Salmonidae. The record is from Rfam by way of RNAcentral.